GGGAAACUUCGGCAGCCACUGACACAAGCGUUUGUGUGAAACCCAUCACAAAUUUAUUAGAGAAUGGCAGGGCUGGUUCAAAUUAAGUUACAGGUUGAUUUACCGAUGGGUGGCAAAGGGUAGUGCUGCACAUCAAAACCGGGUGAAAUCCUGGCCCCACGGAAGUUGGUAGGAAAACUUGCAUGGAAACCUCUCCCACCAAUUACAGUUGUAAACCGUGACAGAGAAGCACGCCACUAAUAAUGGUAAUUUAAAUAGCAGGCACAUGUUCACUAACACAUUCAUUAGAAGUAUGCUUUAGGUGAAUGCGCUUUGUUAACACUAAACAGAAGGUGGCUCUGAGAGCUCCAAAAGGGUUUGCUCCAAGGUGUGGAACUGCUCCUGAAUCAAAAAUGGGCUCUGGUACUUCAGCGAGCACAGUGAUGUACCUGCUUGCAGAUGUACACAUCACUCAUGAAAUUAACCUUUCAGAUAUACAAGGUAUCGCAGGUUAGAUUAAAUACUUGGAAAAAGGAGCCAAGAUGGUAUUCGUUCUAUUAAUUUAAUUAAUUUUCUACUCCUUCCAAGGAAAACCACUUUCUUUUUCAGCAGAUUUAGUUUAUCAGCCUAAUCUGGGGUACAUUUGCCUCAUAUGCUUCUCUACAGAAUUCUAUGUAUUUGAAGUUGGUUUGGAUGGAGUUCAUAAUGUCUUUGCUCUGAGCUGUUUAAUUUUUCUAAUUAAUAAACUUUAAUUAACCCAAAAAAA
Molecule: long non-coding RNA, 745 nt
Organism: Parus major (Great Tit)
Lineage: Eukaryota; Metazoa; Chordata; Aves; Passeriformes; Paridae
Exons: 2
Source: RefSeq, a predicted model, not a curated record